GAAAAUAGGAAGACACAGUUCCUGCCCCCAAGAAGUUUAGAGUUCAUGGGGUAAGACACAUACUGGGAACAACUCUUAAAGGGAGCAGGGUGUGAUGGUCGACUCAGGGCGCCUGGAUUUGACCUGAGCUUGCUGGGGGCGGGAUGAGCGGUUGGUCUGCUGGAAUGUGGGGGAAGGGAACAAUCUAAGAGGCAGUUGGGGAGGCAGCUCUGAGGGGGGAGGACAGUUGGAAGAAUGAGAAAGCUUUCCGAGAGGGAUGCUCAAGGGGGAAAGUUUCCGAUCCUAGAGGACCAGAUGAACCAUAGUGCUGUGAGCCAAAACAGGGAAGCUGGGAGAGGAUGGAGGCUUGAGAGAUAGUGCUCGACAAAUGCUGCCAUUAAUUAGAGGGCAAGAAGAGAAUGAAGGAGCAACUCCAGGGGCUGCAGAGGAAAUCAAGGCGGUGCAGUCACUGGAGCCCUGGGACGAACAGGUUUUCAGAAGUAGAAUGGAGUCAUCAUGAUAUCAAGCAGCAGUGAGAGGACAGGGGAGCGUGCUUUGAGAUGACAAGGAGCUGGCCGAGACCGGAGGCUUCCCGCCCCGAGCCGGAGCCAGGAGUCCCCCAGAGGCGCAGCUGAGGAUGCCCGCACCUGCGGAGAGUCGGGACAGGAGCCCUCUUCCCCAGACGGGCGGCCCACGCACGGAGCUGCCUCCGCUCCAAGCCCGGUGGCCGCGGCCACGUCCACGCAUCCGCUCGGAGAGCCGUUGCCCCGGGGAGGGCAGCGUGAGAGGGCUGGCCACGCAUCUCUGCUGACUUCAUCUCCCAGCGAGGGGAGGACGGCGGCGGCGGAGUGCAAGCCCGAUGGAAAGCCAGACUGGACUCCGAAUGCCCCCACCGGCUGGGGGCCCUCUGCACGCUUCGCGGUGGUCUUCGGACCCGGAGCGCCCGGCCAGGCCUGCAGUUCUGCCACUGCUGGCUGUGCCACCUGGAAAAGUUAUCUAAACCUCUCUGUACCCCAGUCUCCUUCUUCGUCACCUGGUGAUCAUAACUGUCCUGACCUCAUUGGAUGGCUAUGAGGUUUAAACGAGGUAAUAUGUGCCCAAGGUUGUUCUGAACAGGGUUUCUUUUGUUUGGAAGGAUUAAAAAAAAAAAAUUGGAAUACUCUCUAAAAAGAGUAACUGACCUCAGUACCCUUGAGUGCCCGGUAUUGAAUGAGGGGGUUCACGAAUGGGCAUCAGGGUGGAUGGUCCUGCCUCCAACACUGCAAAGCCUUGUGUCGGUGUAUUGUAUAGAAAUACUUUUUUUGCCUAGGAGUCCACAGGCUAAGAUGCUCAAAGGGGUCGUGACUCAAGAUUGGGUGCCUAGGGGGUUUCAAGUGCCUUUGUUCUAGACUGGAGUUUCUCAGCCUUGGCACUAUUGACAUUUGGGGCCAGAUAAUUCUUUGUUGUGGGGGUCUGUCCUGUGCAUUGUAGGGUGGUUAGCAGCAUCGCCAGCUCUUUCCAUGAGAUGCCAGGAGCAUCCCCUCCAACUUGUGAUGAUCAAAAAUGUCUCCAGACAUUGCUAAAUGUCCUCGGGGGUGGGAGGGGGGCUCAAAAUUGCCUCUGGCUGAGAACUACGGCUUUGCAACAUUCCCUGUGGAGGACGUCCUCGGUAAGUUGAAGCUGAGCAAGAUUACUUUUCUGACCCUCAGUGGUCUCUGCCUACUUCUGUGCACUGUAUGGAGGGUCCAGUUACAUCCUGGCAAAGGCUUUUCAAAGUUGAUGGACCACAGACUUUCCAAGCCCCAGCCCUGUUUGCUGUCAACUAUUGGUUCCCAGACCUGGCUGGGCAGCUAGAUCAACUGGAACUCGGUUUUUAUUAUAUUAAUUUUUUCUCAAACCUAAAGGAUUUUUAAAGCAUUAAAUGCAACAUAAAUCACUCAGUUCAUUACUAUUCAUUAAAACCUGAGCUACAAUUAAAGUUAAAUAGUUAAUUCUUUGGGGAACAAGGUCUUGAGGUAAUCUCCUUUUGUGGCGAAUACAUCUUUUUUAACCACAGAUCUCAGAACUGAUAGUUCCUCGUUCAGGAGAAAGAUCAGAGAAGGAUUUUAAGGAGAAGGCCCAGUGAGGAAACAGAUGUGGGAGAAACGUCAGAAGUAUUUGCUGGGGCAUCCUGGAUGUGUUGAGGAUCUUUGACUCCCCCCCUCUUUUUUAAUGAUUAAUUGUCCUCCAUAGGCGAAUCAGGCUUGGCUCUUCUUCUCUUGCUUAACUCCUUGUACACCUGCUCCAACAUGUCCCCAGAAAUUUCAAAUGACUCCAGGACGUGUCGCUCUCGGGAGCUUUGUUCCGGAAUGCUCAUGGAGCUUGCUUUGGGCAGUCCUUCAGUUGCGAGUCCUUCAGUCUCAUUGUUGGGGCUGUGAUGCCGGGUGCCAGGCAGCAGACACAAGCUUUGGAGAUGCUAUGGGUGCAACAUGGAGCACCUCUGGGUGAAGAUCCCUUAGACUAAGGGAACCAGGUGCUGGCUUUUGCCUUGAGUCAGUCCCACGCUCUGUGGGACUUGGGGAUCUCGUCAAUGACUCCAGGUAGAAGAAUCAGCCUGGAGUCGACUUCUGGGAGGUAUGUGUCAAUAGUGCUGAGUGUGGGCAUCUGAGUCCCUCUUUGCAAUUGUGUGCACCUGGGUGUCAUCUGCACAUCUGGUCCUGUGAGCUCAGAUUAGGAUUCCCAGUAGUACCUUGUGACACCACAGCUGUGCCGUGACAAAUGUAAAAUGUGCUGAGACAUCUAGAGUUUGGUAAGGCAUGUGCACCAUGGCCCUGUUGCCGGCUGCUUUAAAGGCAUCAAGGUGGCUCUCUGCAGAGCGAAUAUGGCUGUUUUCAUGGGUGUCUCUAAACGAUACCACUAGGCUGUUGAGGGCUGCAUGGUAUAGACCAAGUCAAUGUUGCAGUUCGUCAUCAACCUGUGGUAUCAGAGAUUCUGGUUCCCCGUGUGAGUGUGGUAGUCGUGGAGCUGGGGUAUCAGGUUCGGAAUUAACUGCAAAUGGCACCUCUGAGAACAUGUCUCUUCAAGCUGGGCAAACUGCACCAAGGCUUGUGGUGCAAAUUGUCGUAGCAGUGUGGGAGUCCUCACAUUUGCUAUGUAGACAGCAGAGCCGAUACUGGAGUAUGUCCAGUCUCCACAGGUGGGUCCACAGUCUCAUAAUUCUCACUUGAAAGAGCCAGGGAGCACUGCUGAGGAAGGUGAGGAUUGGGGUGGCCCUGGAUGGGCCAUCUUUGUGACAACCGAGUUGUUUCCUUUUUGACAUUAUGGCAGAGUGGGUCUUCUGCUCUUACCUGAAGAAGUUAAUGGUUUUGGCAAAGCACAGAUAUGAGAUCAGUAGAGAGCUCAGAUGAGCCUAGGACAAGGUAUAGGGGCUUCCUUAGCAGGCAUGGCCCCCUGUCUAGGCUGAGCUCCUCCAGUGAGGGACAAGGAGGACCUUGUAGGUUGGUGCAUUGUUGUUGGUGGGAAGAAACAGUUUGAGCAGUGGUCUUUGUAGUGGUCAGAUAGUUUUUUAAACCCCACACCUCAGAUCGUUGUCUGCAUUUUCCCUCUUGGGCAAAAGGAAGUUCUAACUUGGGGAAAGCACAGAUUGUAUUUUCUCAGUAGGCCUAAGGGGAACCAUAGGUGGAGGAACGAAGGGGCACUGGAGGUCCUCCCAGGUGGGUGGGAUCUCCCUGGUGGGGUGGGCAUCUUUGUCUUGAUGUGAUCAUGGAAAUCAUGGAAAUGACAGGUGGCCCGUGACAUCCUGCUAUUUAGAAGAGAAGAGUUUCUUGCAUCUCUUGGUGGGACCCCAGCUGUACCAUGUAGGAGGCACACCACACACUCAAGGCCUCAGAUGACCCCUUGGAACUGGUGUUGGGACCUCCAGUCGGGGCUGGGCUCCUUCAGCAAGAAGAGAAAGACCCUACAGGUUGGCAUAUUGUUGGUGCUGGGAGCGAGAUUUCACCUGUUUUGAUGGUUGGGCCAGAAGAGCUCUCUGAUCAUUGAGGGUGUCUUCCAGGAAGUUUCUGGUGACUGCUUGCUUCUUGGAGUUGGGACACGGUUUGUUGAAGAGUCUCUUUCUUGGUGUGUUUGUCCUAAAACAUGUCUCAAGUUGGCAGUUCCCACUUUCUCUGUGUCAAGAGCUCUUCUAACAUCCUCUGCCAUGAAUGAGGGUUCAUGGCUUUCCUGGUUCAGAAUGCAAAUGUAAAUUUUAUAGGACCUCUCUUGUUUUUCUAAUUUUUUCUCCAGGUCUUGGAUUUUCUGCUUAUUCAUUUUCACUUCCUCAAGCAGCUUCUGCUCUUUCUCCUUCCUGAUUGGCUGUCUGUGCACCAUCGUGACUUGUUGCCCAUGGCCUUCAUUAAGGCCUGUGUGGUUUUGCCUUCAUUUUCCAGGUGAGCAUUGACCCGGUGCAGGGGACCCUUGCCUCCUUCCUUGCCUUACCUACUCUUCCAACACUUGCACGCUGGACACAUCAUCUCGCUCAGAAUUGGAAGGCCGCAUCUUUUUCAAACCACUCUCUUUCUUCCUGACUUUGUUAGUGUUGCAGAGCCCUGACUUGCUGCUCAUGGCCUUCUGAAGGCUUGUGUGAUGUUCCUCUUGAGUUUUCGGCCGAGCAUGGGCUGUGCGCCCUCUUUGUUCUCCCUGCUAUGGCAUGGUGAUACUGCCACUCUCUGUUUGGAAGAGAAGGAGGCUGCAUCUUUCAAACUGUUGUGGACAGUGUUUUGUCCGGGGAUUGUCAUGAUCUGAUCCGUCAGACUUCGUAUUUUUUUUUAUCCUGGAAUUCGGCUGCUUUCUGCCUCGUGGCACAUUGGAUGCCGGGGCCGGGGGCAUGAGCCAUGGUAAAUGGCACCAGGAAAUUGGGGUAUUUGCCCACCGACUCCUUUCUCUUCUUGGCUGAGGGAUGCUCUGCAGGCGUUAACUCUCCAGAACUUGCGGCCUCCCCGCCUUUGAGGGUCCAUUUCUUUUCCCCUUUGUGCUUUCUCCUGGAGUGCUUCAGUUCCUUUCCAGUUCACCCAGCUGUGUCAGCUGCUUAGUCUUUGAUGAAAUGUCCUCUCUUCUGAGGAGUGUGUCCUGACUUUGAUGAUCUUUAUGACACCAGAGGCCAAGAAAAGCGACACUGCAAAGGGAGUCAGAGCAGCAGCCCCCUUCCUUCAGGACUUGUAAGGGCCACCUUUGGGGUGAGACCAGAGAUCUGUCCUCUAGGCUGUGACUGUGGGGACAGCUGGUGCCCCUUCAGCUUCUCCUUUGUGUGUGCUGACAAUAAUCCUUGGGGGACGCGUUGCCCUGUCCACCCCUGCCGCAGAGCCACGGUUUGCUGUGCGGGCUUUGUCAUUUAGAGCAUGGUUUUGUGCUUCAAAACUUUUCUUUGGGUUUUAAAAUUAACAUUCAGGAGGCUCGCUUUUCCUUAACCUUUAAGUUCCAUUUGCAAUUUCUGCUCUUAACAAAUUUUAACGAUCCCUUUUAAGGGGAGUUGGUGAGAUUCCGGGUCCCAUUGGAAGUGGUUAGUGGUGACGGCCCAUCUCCUGCUCAUGACAAGCUAACAGUCACAGACUGGGCGGUGCAGCCUGGUGCCGGUCCUGUUCUGCCCUGGGCUGGUGGUCCAUAAGCUCAUUUCUCUCUCCAUGUUCCAUUGAGGUGAGGCUGGCUUCGGGGACAGGCGACCUGUGCUGUCACGCAGGCCCCACACUUGGUUUAAUGCUCUGCUGUCGUCAUCUUGAAAUUCUUAAGAAUCUUUUGAAGAAGGAAGCCCCGUGUUUUCUUUUAGCACUGGGCCCUACAGAUCAUUUACCUGGUAAGUCCUGAAGAGGGGCAGUUACAGACCAGAGUGUGUCCCUCAGCAUUACUGAGGGCAGCGGGGGAGGAGGGAAGAGCUCACUGGAGAAAGAGUUGUGGAAAGAGGCUGGGGUUAAGGAGAGAGAGAGUGGAGGGUGGGUAGAGAGGGAGAGGGCCCACCUUAAAAUCAACGGGAUGAAUAGGAUGAGAGAUUAGGCAUUUUGUGUGGGACUCAGAAAGGCAAGAACAUCCCCGCGAUGGUUUGCCUCCGCAAUUAUUUGCCAUCUCAUCAGACGGGGAGCCCCGUGUGGGCAGGGAUGGGUUUGCUUUGGUUCUUUACCAGGUAACUCCCGGUGUGAGUGUAGCAUAAUGGACAGCCUGUAGCUGAGGCUCCGAACAAUAGCCGUCAAACAAUGACAAACUUCAUCACUGAGCUGAAUGGCAGUGGAAUACGUUUCUUUGACGAGCAGCGAAUCCCCGGUGGGUCAGGGCACUGGUUAAGCAGAAACCAGUGGGUCGUUGGGUGUUAAUCACUGAUAUUUCUGUUGUUGGUUGAAUGCAGUGGAGCACAUGCCCUUUGGUACACAUCUGGGGUUGCAGCCCCUGGCCCUAACCCCAUGAAUCGCUCAGUGCCUGUUGAAGAACUUUCUUCUCUCAGCAUCUGGCCCUCCAAUCUGGAUUCUUUGUGUCUCUGCUGGGUUCCUUUUUCUUCCCCUGCCUCCCACCAUAGGCACCAUGGCGCUCCAACUCAAGCACCUUAAAAAUGUCCACUUAACAGAAUGACAGAUGGCAUGGUUGGUCCCUCCAACCACUUCUGUCACUUUCUGCCUAUUUCCACAUUAAGUACAUGCUUCCCACCUGACUAGCACUCCCACCCUUACCCCUGCAACUGAACAAACCCUUUGGUCAAUGUAGGUGGUCUGUAUAUAAUAAAUAGGCUUGCUUUGCUUCUGUGGUAUCUACCCAACCCCACACGCCUUCCCUGUCCUGGGAGCUGCUCCCUCGGAGGCCGACCCUCCCCUGCUUCUCAUCGUGCAUGAAUUUCCUGGAAUAAAUCCUCCAGGAUGAGGCAUCUUGGGGAAGACAAAGAUGCUGGGAGUCCAGGAGAGGGUCUCUGGUAUCAGCUCUGUUCUGGACACCGGUAGCUGGAGUGGGGUCGGGGAGCCCGUAAGUAUUUUUCUUUGAUGGGGGUGUGGGACCUCCAGUGCAGAGGGUGAAUUUAAGCACGCGCCUCAGUUCAUGACAGUUCAUUAUCAAGGGUCUACUCUCUUGUGGGUUUUAAUCUUUUUGAAUGAGAUUUCCCACUCUCACACCUCCCUCUCCCACUGUGGGCAACGGUUCUGGAAUGCCCAGUGCGUGUCUUUUGGUUUUUUAUUGCUCCAACAAAGCACUGUUCCUAUCUUAUGUGUAAGCACUUUUAAUUCACAUAGAUGGUAUUGUCAUGCCAUUUCUUAUUCUGUUUCCUUUCUCACUCAACACUGUAUUUUAAGACGUGAUCUUCCGUUCCACAUUCUUAAAAUUUAUUGAGAUUACCCAAAGAGCUUUUGUUUAUGUGGGUUAAAACUAUCGAUAUUUACUACCUUAAAAAUUGAAACGGAGAUGUUUAAAAAUACUUAUUUAUUGAUUCAUUUGAAAAUAGCAAUGAUGAGCCCAUUGCACAUUAAUGUAAAUAACAUUUUAGCAUUAUUAUGAAAAUAGUUUUGACCCCGAAGACUCCCUGUCCUACAAUAAAGUGUCAGUUUGUUCCAGAAUGUGAAAAGGCCCUGUGAAGGACAAAGUUUGGAAAGUGAAUUUUAUAAGACCUGCAUCUGAAAAGAAACCAUGGAAUAUAUUAUAUUUUAGCAGAGUUUGUUCAGGUUUGAUGGGCUUGUUUCCUUGGUUUACUGAUUAAUAUGAGUGCCUACAAUAUGGAAAGUCAUUCUAGAAGGGGGAGAUUCUGUGUUUGACCAGAGAAUUUUUUGGUGCUUUAUGUUGAAUUUACCGUGUCUAAGAUUAUUUUAAAACACUGGGAACAAAACGCUCCUCAAUUAUAAACAAGCUAUAUGUAUACUUCUUUGUUUAUUUUACUCAUUUAUUUCACAAUCUGUGCCUGUGUAGGCUUUUAAAAGGAAAAUUAACAUAUUAUUCACCUUUUUAGAGAGUAGAGGUCAAUGGCUUUUAGGCUAUUAUUAGGUUGUGCAGCCGUCACCGCUAUCUAAUUCUACCUCAUUCCAGAACAUUUUCGAAAUGAAACCCUGUACCCAUUAGCUGUCAUUCCCCAUUUUCCUCUCCCAAACCCCAGCCCCUGGGAAUCAUUAGUCUACUUUGAGUCUCAAUGGAUUUGCCUAUUUUGGACAUUUCAUAUAAAUGGAAUCACACAAUAUGUGGCCUUUUUUGUCUGGCUUCUUUUGCUUAGCACAAUGUUCUUGAGGGUUAUCCAUGUUUAGUAUGUAUGAGGACUUCGUUCCAUUUUAUGGGUGAGUAAGAUUCCAUUGCAUGGAUACACCACAUUUUAUUUAUCCUGUCAUCACUUGAUGGUCAUUUGGGUUGUUUCCACUUUUUGGCUAUUAUGAAUACUGCUGCUAUGAACAUUUGUGUGUAAGCUUUUUGUUUCCAUAUGUCUUCAAUACCCCUGAGUCUGUUUACUUUUCAAUGUUAUCGCUUAAUUAAAUGGUUAACCGAAGAUUGUUUCUCAGGCACCUAUGGCAUUUAUUAACAAGUGUCCAGAUCUCUUCUGACAGCUCUUUAGAUUUUGCCUUCCCAAAUAAUUUAAUAUGCAAAGAAAAAAAGUGAAAGGGAACUUUGAGGAUAUCUUUCACAACUACAGUGAUCUUUGAGAUUCCCUGAGGAGACUUGGAAAAUCACAAAGAUUUGUUUUUGCACCUUAUUAAAAGAGAGAUGCUAGAAAUAAUUAGGUUCGUCUGAUGUGUUAUUAUUGUAAGAUUUGCACGAGAAGAGUUGUCAGAUGGGAAGCCAUGUUCAGCCUUCCUGAGGUUAAGCUUAUAUGGAUGAGAUGCUAAUGUAAGUAUUUUAGAAAUUGUAUGUUUUAUGGGAAGUCCCUGGCGAUCUGUCAAUGCUCUCACUGCCCAUAUGUUUUUUCCCUCAGGGGAAAUGCUCAUCUAACGUCUUUUGAAAUGGUUCUGUACUGUACCCUGAGAGAGAUGUCUGCUCUCCUGCAUUCUGAUAUUAUUGGUUAGAGCCAUCAAUUAACCACAGCUCUGGCAUCUCUGUCAUCGUACAAAUAUUUCUGUUUCCUCUGAUGCUUGCCUGAAGGCUCUGCUCUAAGCCGCAGCCUGCAGCCUGUGUCUUCAAUGCAAAGGGCCAGUCUUAGAGCCUCUUGAUAAAUGACCGUACCAGGUACUUCAAACCUGCCGUACUUUAAAGAGUAGACUCCUGGGUGCAGGCUUCUGACUGGCGUCACUUAAGCAACUCCAAGACUAGGCCCGCAGACCCAGUCAGGAUUUCCAGGACUCUCUUUGGUCCAGAAGCGGACGGCUUCAUUACAGCGGACUGCUAAGCCAAUCUAGCGGAACAAGAAUGAAUGGCAGGGGGCUGCAUGAAGUGAUGUAGGAAUUUAUUGUGGUUAUUGGUUUAUGGUGAUGUUGUUUGAACACUCUGCUUUCUGGCUAUGUGGGGGUGCCUUUUCUCUUCUUCAGCUCCCUGUAACCCACAACAAUUUAGUAGACUCUGCUUUUGUAAAUGGAAAUAAAAUGUUUACAAAUGAUGCUCGGUUUUCACUGGUGUGCCCUGGCAUCUCAUUGUGGUUUUAAUUUGCAUUUCCCGAAUGGCUAAUGAUGUCGAUCAUCUUUCAUGUGUCUGUCUGCCAUCCGUAUCCCUCUUUAGUGAAGCGGCCCAAGUUCUCCCAGCAGACUGUGGACUCUGAACGGAAACAAAGGACAGGCAUAAGGAGCACCCUGAGCCAGGCUUCUGGGCAGUUUCCGGGCCCCCAUCUCUUCAGCGUCUCCCCUGCCCCUGCCAUGGGACCAGUGUGUACAGGUCAGCUCCUGGGCUGUGGCAGACAGACUUGUCCCCGUGGGAUGUCUGCCGGGUUGGAAGACUGACACCCCCGAAGGAGGAGGCUCAUCCCAGAGGGUGGCACUUUCUCUGAAAGAGUAUAAGCUUCAUGAAGGUCCUCAAUAAAUGUUUGUUAUUGGAUGAAGACAAUGGAUCCCAAUGGACAAAGUGCCCAUGGGAGUGGCACCCGAGCUGAACGUUGGGAAGCCAAGGAGGGGACCCAGAGGAAGAGACAGUUCCUUUGUUACUACUGCCAAGGGGUCUGUGGGCCACACAUUCGAAGGUGCUGGAGGACACCAAAGGGGGCCCUCCUCAUGGGGUCACAUGUUCCCUGAGUGGUCAGGGCCACACCUUCUCAGUGCCACCAGAGCUAUCCCUCCUGUCUUUGUCUUCUCAUUGUAUCCCCAUGCAACAUACGGUAGAAGGUAGUUAUCAAGAAAAUAUCUUUGUUUUUAGCACUUUCCUUGGAAAAACCGCAGGGGUCCAAACCCUUUGGAGGUUGUUCCCAGUGACUUGGCACCUGGUGGAUUUGAACAGCCUGCUCUGGGAACGUCUCAUCUUGGUCUUGAGAUGCAACCUAAUUCCAGCUUAUUGAGCUAAGGUUCUGAGCACGGCCCUCCUCCUCGGGACUUCCUAAGUGGACUUGAUGCCCCUGGGCACUUUCCUUUCUUUUAAUAGAUUGUUUCUGCUGGCUUUUGUGGUAGAAGCUGGGGCAGUUGAUGGAGAAACUCAGCCAAGCCAAGAGAAAGGUGCUGGAGAACCUAUGUAUCCCUCACAGGGGCGGGGCCGUUCCUGGGUGGACCUGGGAGGACCUGGGAGACUAGGGCAGAACACAGGUGCCCCCCAGGUCCCCUUGCUCCAAACUAUAGAGUCAGAUGGCUUUCGGUAAUCUUUCCAAAGGGAAUUGUGCAAAUGUACCCCAGAGACAAUUGCAUUUGAGGUUGAAAUCUCUGUAUCUGAAAGGGCUGCUCUAUGCCUGACUUUGGUUCAGGUCCCAAGCCCCUAUUUGGAAUGGGAAAUCCCACUCAAGGGCAGGGAGCUUGGCUAGGAUCUUCCUUCAAAAGAUUGUGUUUGGAGCUCACCAGCUCCUAAUGCAUCUGUGAGUCAGGCAGCAACCAAGUCCAGUGUUCAUGGAGAGAAAGAAGCAGUUAAAAUGAAUCCCAGGUGCCACCCUAUGCUCCCUGUCACCUCAGCCCCUGUUCACCUGGCAUGGUCUCCUUAACACAGGACAGUCUGAAGGCAUCACUAAUGAUGGCACCAUGAUGGCCUUGGGAUCUCUCUCCUCUCUCCCUUUGUCCCGAUGAACAGAUAUCUGCAUUCAGAAUGCCCUAAACGGGCUCCUUAAGGAGACGAAGUCUCCUUGAGAGCAUGAGUUUCCCCUUCCACUGAGCAGAAAGUGUGCCUGGAGAAAGGGCUCCAGCACACCCGGGUCUGGGAGCUGCAACCGGGUAGAAAAGGACCCUGCUCUGUCCCCGUGUGGAUCUAAACCGGGCAACUGCUCCACCCCACCUUGCCCCGAUGCUUUGAGGGGAGCGCAGAUAGAGCAGUGUGUGUCUGGGAGGGCAGGUGUGAACCUGCAGACUGGGCUACAGCACCUCGUUGGAAGACCAGGGAUGACGGGGUGAUGGCACUUGGUGGACAGGAGGUGCCCUGUAGGAUACACAGGGAGGGCAGGGAAAUGGAUCGGUAUUCGGACGUGCAGCAGGGCCUCGUGGGAGUGGUUAGAUGGCCCCUCUCCCUCUGCUCUCUCCCUUUCUGUCUUUCUCAUUCUCUCUUAUUCUGUUUGUUUCUCUGUCUCUGUCUCUCUCUCAUUCUGUCUCUCUCUCUGUCUCCCUCCUUCCUUCCUGUGCUUUUCUCUGCGUAUUUUCUCCACUAUUCUGACUGGCUUCCUCUCCCAGGCUCUUGGUUUCUACUCUUCCCAGCAUCAGUCGGGGCUUUGGUUUUGGAUUGCCAUGGUGCCACCUCUCAGCCUCGGAGCUAUAGCACUACCUAGCCCCAGUGCCACAUGGUCUGCCUGACAGCCUGGAUCUCAACCCUGGAUUCCGGGAGACUCUUACUGGCCCAGCUUGGACCAGAUGUCCCCUCUCAGCCCAGUCAGCUGCGGGCAGGCGGAGAGGGGUCAGGUGGCUCACUGGGCUGCACCAUCCGGCUUGUGAACAGCAUGGCUUCUCUUGGAAAGGGGUGUGGCUUGGAAAGAAAUGAAGCUUAUAUCUGAUCCAGGUAUAUCUACCCCUCUGGGGUCCAUUAAUCUAGAUGGGUUCCUGGAAAUCAAAUAGAGGACAUUUCCAAAGGUGACUUCAGAGUCACACCUGCCGUAUUUGAGUCCUAGCUUUGCCACUUCAGAGUUGUAUCACCUUGAACAAGUUACUGUCUUUGAGCUUUAGUUUCUUCAUCUGACAAUAGUAUCCAUUGCAUAAGAUUGUUGUGGGAUUAAAUGAGGUCAUGUCAAAAUGCAUCUUGUAGGCAGUCAAUAAAUGAUAGCAUUAAAAAAAAUGAGUUAUCUCUCUACUCUAGGAUCUCAAAGAGCUCUAUGGACCCAAAGGCCAAGCUGGCCCUAUAUCAAGGGGUACGUGAUGAGUUGUUGUGGGCUAAACUGGACUUUGAGGAGGAGAAGUUAGGUUUGUGGCAUUCUAGGACUCCUGGUUGGAGGUCCCCCUGCUUGCUGGAGGUCACCUAGCCCCACUGUUCCACACCCCACUGGUAUCCCUACCCUAAAGUGUGUGGAUCUAAUCUGUGGGAUUCAUACCCUGGCUCUGCCCCCAACUGGCCAUGAGAUGUGGGGCUGGUUACUUAAUCUCUGAGUUUCGGGGUCUUUACAGUGGAGACAACCGCAGCACCUCUCUCAGAGGCUUAAGAGAGAUACCUCAGCUAGACUGUUCAGCACAAUACCUGGCACUUAGUAAGUUUCACUGAGCUGGUAACUGCUGUUAUAACCUCGGAGACGUAGAAAGAAACAGGGAGCAAAGAACAGACAGGUUGCUGAACAGAUAGGCAGUGGAUGGCGAGUGAAAGCCCAGAGUCCUGGGGUCCCAGGGCCCUGCUUUAGUGGUUCUGCCCCAGUCGGACAGUCCUGACGCCCUCCCCCGUCCAUGGGAGAACAGGCUCUCUUUGUCAAGAUGGGCUGCGAACCGCAGAAGCUGACCACUCGACCAGAACUGGGUGAGC
Molecule: long non-coding RNA, 12903 nt
Filed under: Equus caballus (horse)
Lineage: Eukaryota; Metazoa; Chordata; Mammalia; Perissodactyla; Equidae
Description: lncRNA (ENSECAG00000056660.1)
Source: RNAcentral